Long non-coding RNA from Triticum dicoccoides, 568 nucleotides. RefSeq lists it as uncharacterized. NCBI's taxonomy places the organism in Eukaryota, Viridiplantae, Streptophyta, Magnoliopsida, Poales, Poaceae. The record is from RefSeq and is a predicted model, not a curated record. The transcript is spliced from 2 exons.
UAUCUAGAUCCCCAAAUCUUGGACACCUAGGCUUCCUGUGCUCUAUUCUCUUGUGAUGUCCACUGCUAGUUCUUCUGCAUCCGACCGCCAUUGCCUAACUCCAGCUUACCCACUUACCCUUGUGCUCUUCCCCAGGUGUCAUCAGUAGGUUCUGGUGCUCGUCUCAAAGAAGCAUCCUCAUGACGGUUGUGUGUUCUACAAGUGCCACAUGAACAGAACUGGUUGUAAAUUCUAGCAUUGGGGCUACAGUACGUGGAGUAUCUGAUUCAGCAUCGGUACCUUGUAGGUGAAGCUGCUGCUGAUGCACUACUGUACAUUAGAGCUAAAAGGGAAGGGUUGGAGCGAGGGAAAGUGGCAAAAGCAACCAUUGCUACAACCAGCAUCUGCAGCAAUGGCGCUGAUGAUGUCGGGCCAUUGAGGAUGACGAAUGCUUUGUUACUGAUAGCAAGAGAGAUGUUAUUCCUCAUGAAGUUAGGCCUUGCUCAGGGUUUGGUGCUCAGGGUUUGGUGCUAUGCUUUAUGAUGCUCUUUGUAAUGUUGAUGAAAUGAUAUCAUCAGUUGCAUUUGUA